UCCGAUAUGGUCUAGUGGCUAGGAUUUGCCGCUCUCAUCGAGAGUGCUACACUCUGUAGUGCCGGCAAGGCCCGGGUAAGUUACACUCAUGAAUCUGAUGCAAAACUCAAUACUAACACAAGCCUUAGGUUCGAUUCCCGGUGUCGGAA
Molecule: non-coding RNA, 149 nt
Organism: Massariosphaeria phaeospora
Lineage: Eukaryota; Fungi; Ascomycota; Dothideomycetes; Pleosporales
Source: the annotation of a GenBank genome assembly